CAGGACGAACGCUGGCGGCGUGCCUAACACAUGCAAGUCGAGCGAGGAGAUUCCUUCGGGAUGAUCCUAGCGGCGGACGGGUGAGUAACACGUGGGCAACCUGCCUCAUAGAGAGGAAUAGCCUUCCGAAAGGGAGAUUAAUACCUCAUAACAUUGCAGUUUCGCAUGGAACAGCAAUUAAAGGAGUAAUCCGCUAUGAGAUGGGCCCGCGGCGCAUUAGCUAGUUGGUGAGGUAACGGCUCACCAAGGCGACGAUGCGUAGCCGACCUGAGAGGGUGAUCGGCCACAUUGGGACUGAGACACGGCCCAGACUCCUACGGGAGGCAGCAGUGGGGAAUAUUGCACAAUGGGGGAAACCCUGAUGCCAGCAACGCCGCGUGAGUGAUGACGGCCUUCGGGUUGUAAAGCUCUGUCUUCAGGGACGAUAAUGACGGUACCUGAGGAGGAAGCCACGGCUAACUACGUGCCAGCCGCGGC
This 477-nucleotide ribosomal RNA is filed under the name uncultured bacterium. RNAcentral describes it as "bacterial SSU rRNA". It matches the Rfam family "Bacterial small subunit ribosomal RNA", at positions 25 to 518 of the family's 1533-position model. The record is from RNAcentral.